CUGUAUCUAUCAUAGGUGUAUAAUACCUAUUAUAAUAUCCUUUUACUAUUAUUUUUACAAGUACAUAUAUUUUCAUAUCAUGUCAAAGCUCUUUUUAUUAAUAAUUUUUCUUUAUUAUAUGUUAUAGAUAAUUGUAUAUGUUUUAUAUUGUAUGGUUUUACUUGUUCUAACAAUUUUAUUUCUAAUAUUAUGUCUGUUUUUUGCAUAUCUUCCUUUAUUUCAAAUUCUAUUUUUAUUUUUCUAACUCCUAUUAUUAUUUCUUUUUCUGUCAUAUCAUUAAUGUUUAUUAGACUCCUUGAU
This 300-nucleotide long non-coding RNA is filed under the name Capsicum annuum. RNAcentral describes it as "long non-coding RNA (CANN_LNC020845)". The record is from RNAcentral. Lineage: Eukaryota; Viridiplantae; Streptophyta; Magnoliopsida; Solanales; Solanaceae.